Molecule: ribosomal RNA, 440 nt
Filed under: uncultured bacterium
Lineage: Bacteria
Description: partial 16S ribosomal RNA
Rfam family: Bacterial small subunit ribosomal RNA
Source: RNAcentral
CCUACGGGAGGCAGCAGUAGGGAAUAUUGCUCAAUGGGGGAAACCCUGAAGCAGCAACGCCGCGUGGAGGAUGAAGGUUUUCGGAUUGUAAACUCCUUUUGGUAGAGAAGAGAAUGACGGUAUCUAACGAAUAAGCACCGGCUAACUCCGUGCCAGCAGCCGCGGGAAUACGGAGGGGGCAAGCGUUACUCGGAAUCACUGGGCGUAAAGAGCGCGUAGGCGGGAUUGCAAGUCAGAUGUGAAAUCCUAUGGCUUAACCAUAGAACUGCAUUUGAAACUGUUAGUCUAGAGUAUGGGAGAGGUAGGUGGAAUUCUUGGUGUAGCGGUCAAAUCCGUAGAGAUCAGGAGGAAUACUCAUUGCGAAGGCGACCUGCUAGAACAUAACUGACGCUGAUGCGCGAAAGCGUGGGGAGCAAACAGGAUUAGAUACCCGGGUAGUC